UACAGAGGGUGCAAGCGUUAAUCGGAAUUACUGGGCGUAAAGCGCACGUAGGCGGCUUGGCAAGUUGGAUGUGAAAUCCCCGGGCUCAACCCUGGAAUUGCCUCCAAAACUGUGCUGCUUGAGUUCGGAAGAGGAGAGUGGAAUUCCCAGUGUAGAGGUGAAAUUCGUAGAUAUUGGGAAGAACACCAGUGGCGAAGGCGGCUCUCUGGUCCGAUACUGACGCUGAGGUGCGAAAGCGUGGGGAGCAAACAGG
This 253-nucleotide ribosomal RNA is filed under the name uncultured bacterium. RNAcentral's name for it is "partial 16S ribosomal RNA". It matches the Rfam family "Bacterial small subunit ribosomal RNA", at positions 524 to 776 of the family's 1533-position model. The record is from RNAcentral.